CCUACGGGAGGCAGCAGUGGGGAAUAUUGCACAAUGGGGGAAACCCUGAUGCAGCGACGCCGCGUGAGUGAAGAAGUAUUUCGGUAUGUAAAGCCCUAUCAGCAGGGAAGAAAAUGACGGUACCUGACUAAGAAGCCCCGGCUAACUACGUGCCAGCAGCCGCGGUAAUACGUAGGGGGCAAGCGUUAUCCGGAUUUACUGGGUGUAAAGGGAGCGUAGACGGCAGUGCAAGUCUGGAGUGAAAUGCCGGGGCUUAACCACGGGACUGCUUUGGAAACUGUGCGGCUAGAGUGCAGGAGGGGUAAGUGGAAUUCCUAGUGUAGCGGUGAAAUGCGUAGAUAUUAGGAGGAACACCAGUGGCGAAGGCGGCUUACUGGACUGUAACUGACGUUGAGGCUCGAAAGCGUGGGGAGCAAACAGGAUUAGAUACCCCAGUAGUC
This 440-nucleotide ribosomal RNA is filed under the name uncultured bacterium. RNAcentral describes it as "partial 16S ribosomal RNA". It matches the Rfam family "Bacterial small subunit ribosomal RNA", at positions 338 to 795 of the family's 1533-position model. The record is from RNAcentral.